Molecule: long non-coding RNA, 426 nt
Filed under: Amphimedon queenslandica
Lineage: Eukaryota; Metazoa; Porifera; Demospongiae; Haplosclerida; Niphatidae
Description: uncharacterized LOC109590446
Source: RNAcentral
CUGUGGAUCAUGUGUUUGCUUUGCUCAACCUGACACUCUCAGAGGAUCACUGAGGGACACACUACUGGAAGUUCAUCCAACUGGGAUACUUGCUGUCCCCAGGGUGUGGGAGAAAUUCAAAGAAGCAGCUGAAACUCAGUUUCAGUCUAUUAGUGGAGUCAAGAAGUUUAUAAUAAGGAAAGCAAUGGAAGUUGGUCAAUGAAGUCAAGAGAAUAAGAUAAACAGAAACAAUCAAUCUGUGUUUGGAUAUGGACUGGCCAACAGACUUGUUUUUAAAAAUUUAAGAGAGAAACUUGGACUCGAUCAAUGCAGAUUCUGUAUUUCAGGGGGUGCCCCUUUACCUAAAGCAGUAGUUGAUUUCUAUGCUGGUUUUGAUAUAGCUCUAUUGCAGUUGUAUGGAAUGUCAGAGACUUCAUCAGUAGUAAC